UGGAGCUGAGGGUGGAAGGGGAGUGAGCUGACGCUCGGAAGGUGUCUUGAGAUUAUCAUCCGCUGAGGGUGGAAGGGGAUGGAGCAGACACUCGGCACGUGUCUUGAGAUUAUCAUCCGCUGAGGGUGGAAGGGGAGUGAGCACACACUCGGGAGGUGUCUUGAGGCUCAGGGAGUUAUCAGUUAUAGAAUGUUGUUGAGUUGGAGGAGGUGGCUGGUGGCCCAUCCUGUUUUUUAAAGUUUCAGCUGUGAGGUA
This 255-nucleotide long non-coding RNA is filed under the name Homo sapiens (human). RNAcentral's name for it is "HSALNT0228804". The record is from RNAcentral. Lineage: Eukaryota; Metazoa; Chordata; Mammalia; Primates; Hominidae.